AUUGAACGCUGGCGGCAGGCUUAACACAUGCAAGUCGAGCGGGGUGAUGGUGCUUGCACUAUCACUUAGCGGCGGACGGGUGAGUAAUGCCUAGGAAUCUGCCUAUUAGUGGGGGACAACAUCUCGAAAGGGAUGCUAAUACCGCAUACGGCUUACGGGAGAAAGCAGGGGAUCACUGGUGAACUUGCGCUAAUAGAUGAGCCUAAGUCGGAUUAGCUAGUUGGUGGGGUAAAGGCCUACCAAGGCGACGAUCUGUAGCGGGUCUGAGAGGAUGAUCCGCCACACGGGGACUGAGACACGGCCCCGACUCCUACGGGAGGCAGCAGUGGGGAAUAUUGGACAAUGGGGGGGACCCUGAUCCAGCCAUGCCGCGUGUGUGAAGAAGGCCUUAUGGUUGUAAAGCACUUUAAGCGAGGAGGAGACUCUUUUGGCUAAUACCCAAGAUGAGUGGACGUUACUCGCAGAAUAAGCACCGGCUAACUCUGUGCCAGCAGCCGCAGUAA
This 503-nucleotide ribosomal RNA is filed under the name uncultured bacterium. RNAcentral's name for it is "partial 16S ribosomal RNA". It matches the Rfam family "Bacterial small subunit ribosomal RNA", at positions 30 to 523 of the family's 1533-position model. The record is from RNAcentral.